UAGGGAAUCUUCGGCAAUGGACGGAAGUCUGACCGAGCAACGCCGCGUGAGUGAAGAAGGUUUUCGGAUUGUAAAGCUCUGUUGUAAGAGAAGAACGAGUGUGAGAGUGGAAAGUUCACACUGUGACGGUAUCUUACCAGAAAGGGACGGCUAACUACGUGCCAGCAGCCGCGGUAAUACGUAGGUCCCGAGCGUUGUCCGGAUUUAUUGGGCGUAAAGCGAGCGCAGGCGGUUAGAUAAGUCUGAAGUUAAAGGCUGUGGCUUAACCAUAGUACGCUUUGGAAACUGUUUAACUUGAGUGCAAGAGGGGAGAGUGGAAUUCCAUGUGUAGCGGUGAAAUGCGUAGAUAUAUGGAGGAACACCGGUGGCGAAAGCGGCUCUCUGGCUUGUAACUGACGCUGAGGCUCGAGAGCGUGGGGAGCAAACAGGAUUAGAUACCCUGGUAGUCCACGCCGUAAACGAUGAGUGCUAGGUGUUAGACCCUUUCCGGGGUUUAGUGCCGCAGCUAACGCAUUAAGCACUCCGCCUGGGGAGUACGACCGCAAGGUU
Molecule: ribosomal RNA, 549 nt
Filed under: uncultured bacterium
Lineage: Bacteria
Description: bacterial SSU rRNA
Rfam family: Bacterial small subunit ribosomal RNA
Source: RNAcentral